RNAcentral lists this ribosomal RNA (305 nucleotides) under uncultured bacterium. RNAcentral describes it as "bacterial SSU rRNA". It matches the Rfam family "Bacterial small subunit ribosomal RNA", at positions 335 to 657 of the family's 1533-position model. The record is from RNAcentral.
UUACCUACGGGGCGCAGCAGUGGGGGAUAUUGCACAAUGGGGGGAACCCUGAUGCAGCGACGCCGCGUGGGCGAUGGAGUACUUCGGUAUGUAAAGCCCUAUCAGCAGGGAAGAAAAUGACGGUACCUGACUAAGAAGCCCCGGCUAAAUACGUGCCAGCAGCCGCGGUAAUACGUAUGGGGCAAGCGUUAUCCGGAUUUACUGGGUGUAAAGGGAGCGUAGGCGGCAUGGCAAGUCUGAAGUGAAAGCCCGGGGCUCAACCGCGGGACUGCUUUGGAAACUGUUAAGCUGGAGUGCGGGAGGGG